UACAGAGGGUGCAAGCGUUGUUCGGAAUUAUUGGGCGUAAAGAGCUCGUAGGCGGUUUGUCGCGUCUGCUGUGAAAACCCGAGGCUCAACCUCGGGCCUGCAGUGGGUACGGGCAGACUAGAGUGCGGUAGAGGAGAGUGGAAUUCCCGGUGUAGCAGUGAAAUGCGUAGAGAUCGGGAGGAACAUCAGUUGCGAAGGCGGCUCUCUGGACCAGCACUGACACUGAGGCACGAAAGCGUGGGGAGCAAACAGG
RNAcentral lists this ribosomal RNA (253 nucleotides) under uncultured bacterium. Its description in RNAcentral is "partial 16S ribosomal RNA". It matches the Rfam family "Bacterial small subunit ribosomal RNA", at positions 524 to 776 of the family's 1533-position model. The record is from RNAcentral.